This is a long non-coding RNA of Loxodonta africana (African savanna elephant), 24951 nucleotides long. RefSeq lists it as uncharacterized. The record is from RefSeq and is a predicted model, not a curated record. The transcript has 4 exons. Lineage: Eukaryota; Metazoa; Chordata; Mammalia; Proboscidea; Elephantidae.
CCUCGCGCUGGGGCUGCUGGAGGGUGCUGCACCCAAGGGCGGGCGGGCACCUCGGCCCUCCACGGCCCACCAAACCCUCCCCGCCCUUUGGAUCCGGGAACUCUUAGCCCCUGGCUCCGCUCCCAGAGUCUUUUAUAAAGGUGCGUUAAAAACGUGUAAAAUGUACUGUUUAUGAUUGUCACUGCUAAAACUGCAGGAUUUCCCGUUUCUAUACUUCACCCCAGAUGGCCCCAUGCCCGGGCUGGUUGCGUUAGUUUUCCAACUGGUCUCCCAGCAAAAGUCGUUCUCCAUUUACCCAGCAGAGAGGUGAGAGAGAAAGACAAAGAGAGAAGGAGAGACACAGAGAGAACUGAGUUUUAUAUGCAGACUCACACUUUGCUGGUGUGUGUGCACAGAGCCCUGGGUGGCAGAAAGGAGUAAGCUCUUAGCUACUAACUGAAAGGUUGGAACCUACCCAAGGGUUCCACAGGAGAAAGACCUGGCAAUCUGCUUCUGCAAAGAUUACAAGUAAGGAAAUCCUUUGGGGCAGUUCUACCCUGUCGUGUGGGGUCUCUGUGAGCUGGAGCUGACUCCACAAGUACACAGCAACAACAUACACAGAGAAAACCUGUGGCCUUGAGUGAUUAUAUAGUGUCAUGUAUAGUUUCGGGGAAAUGAGCACCACAGAGUCACAGGAGCCUUGCCUAUGCUUUGGCAAGCCAGGGUGCACCAAGCUAACACUAUGAGUCAGCUGGCUGCUGCUGAACUAGAAAGAAACACUAUUCCCACCCUGGCUGUAUUGUAAACUGGAGUUGCAAAUCACAUUUCCCCCCCAAAACAAAAGCGAAAUAGCAACAACACUGGCAAAACCAAGCAAAAUGGUGAUGAUGAUUAACACUUUCAGAACUUCCUCAAUUACCUCUCCGAGGCAGACAGUUAACACUUCCAGUGCUUGCUUAAUUCCUUAUGUGAGGUAAAAAAAUCCAGUGCCGUCGAGUCGAUUCUGACCAUAGCGACCCUAUAUGUGAGGUAGGUACUAUUAAACGUCCUUGUGUACACAUCCUUGCCUACAGAGGAAGGAAUUGAGGCACUUGACAAGCUAAAUAACUUUUCUGAGGUUAUAUAGGUUUUAAUGGGUAAUACUGGAGUCUGUGGGUAGUACAAACGAUUAAUGAUUAAAGAGCUUGGCUGCUAAACGGAAGGUUGGAGAUUCAAGUCCACCCAGAGGCACCUAAGAAGAAAGGCCUGGUGGUCUAUUUCCAAAAAAUCAGCCAUUGGAAACCGCAGGAAGCACAGCUCUACUCUAACACACCUGGGGUCGCCACGAGUCAGAACCAGCUCCGUGGCAACUGGUAAAGGGGUGCUAUUGGCAUUCAAGCGCAAGCAGUCCCACUCUAGAGUCUAAGCUUUUACCAACUCUCUAAAAAACAACUAGAAGCAGUUAUAUAACGUGAAGCUGUAAACUCGAAGCAACUGAGCCUAACGAGUGCUGGAGCAAGUGUGUAGAAGGCAGAGACCACAAGCUUAGUUGACAGUAGACGUUGGGGUACUUCACUUUCUACAGAAGUAGACGUUUUGCCCUUUGAGUGAAGUAGUUGUUGUUGGCCCUCAAGUCAAUUCUGACUCAUAGCCACCCUAGGUACAACAGAACGAACACCGCCCAAUCCUGGCCACCCUCACAAUUGUUGCCAUGUUUGAGCCGAUUGUUGCAGCCACUGUGUCAACCCAUCUCUUCAGGGUCUUCCUCUUUUUCGCUGACCCUUUAUUUUACCCAGCGUGAUCUGCUUCUCCAGGAACUGGUCCCUCUUGAUAACAUAUCCAAAGUACGUAUGACGAAGUCUUGUCAUCCUUGCUUCUAAGGAGCAUUCUGGUUGUAUUUCUUCCAAGACAGAUUUGUUCGUUCUUCUGGCAGUCCACAGUAUAUUCAAUAUUCUCUGCCAACAGCAUAAUUCAAAGGCAUCAGUUCUUCAAUCGCCCUUAUUCAUUAUCCAGCUUUCAUGUGCAUAUGAAGCAAUUGAAAACACCAUGGCUUAGGUCUGGCGCAUCUUAGUCCUUAAAGUGCCAUCUUUGCUUUUUAACACUUCAAAGAGAUCUCACGCAACAGAUGUGCCCAAUGCAAUGCAUCUUUUGAUUUCUUGACGGCAGCUUUCAUGGGUGUUGACUGUGGAUCCAAGCAAAAUGAAAUCCUUGACAAGUUCAACUUUAUCUGAAUUUAUCAUGAUGUAGUUUAUUGGUCCAGUUGUGAGGAUUCUUGUUUUCUGUAUAUUGAGACGAAAUCCAUACUGAAGGCUGUGGUUUUUGAUCUUCAUCAGUAAGUGCUUUCAAGUCCUCUUCACUCUCAGCAGGCAAGGUUUUGUCAUCUGCAUAUCUAAGGUUGUGAAUGAGUCUUCCUCCAAUCCUGAUGCCCUGUUCUUCUUCAGUUAGUCCAACUUUCGGGAUUAUUUGCUCAGCAUACAGAGUGAAUAAAUAUGGUGAAAGGAUACGACGCUGACACACGGCUUUCCUGACUUUAAAUCACGCAGUAUCCCUUUGUUCUGUUUGAACAACUAUCUCUUGAUCUAUGUACAGGUUCCUCUUGAGCACAAUUAAAUGUUCUGAAAUUCCCUUUCUUUUCAGUGUUACCCAUAAUUUGUUAUGAUCCACAUAGUCAAAUGGCUCUGAAUAGUCAAUAAAACAGAGGUAAAUAUCUUUCUGGUAUUCUCUGCUUUCAGCCAAGAUUCAUCUGAUAUCAGCAAUGAUAUCCCUCAUUCCACAUCCUCUUCUGAAUCUGGCUUGAACUUCUGGUAGUUCCCUGUUGAUAUAAUGCUGGAGCCACUUUUGAAUGAUCUUCAGCAAAAUUUUAUUUGCAUUUGAUAUUAAUGAUAUUGUUUGAUAAUUUCCGCAUUCUGUCGGACCACCUUUCCUGGGAAUGGGCAUAAAUAUGGGUCUCUUCCAGUCUGUUGGCCGGGUAGCUGUGUUCCAAAUUUCUUGGCAUGGAUGAGUGAGCAUUUCCAGUGCUGCAUCUAUUUCUGGAAAUAUCUCAGUUGGUAUUCUGUCAAUUCCUGGAGCCUUGUUUUUUGCCAACGCCUCCAGUGCAACUUGGACUUCUUCCUUCAGUACCAUCAGUUCCUGAUCAUAUGGUACUUCUUGAAAUUUGUUGAACGUCGACCAGUUCUUCUUGGUAUAGUGACACCAUGGAUUCCUUCCACCUUCCCUUGAUGUUUCCUGUGUUGUUUAAUAUUUCCCCUAUAGAAUCCUUCAAUGAUACAACUCACUCAGUUCUUUCAGCUUGAGAAAUACAGAGUGUGUUCUUCCCUUUUGGUUUUCUACCUUCAGGUCUUUGCACAUGUCAUUAUAGUACUUUGUCUUCUCGAGCUGCCCUUUGAAAUCUUCUAUUUUGCUUUUUUACUCCAUCAUGGCUUCCUUUUGAUUUAGCUACUCUGCAUUCAAGAACAAGUUUCAGAGUCUCUUCUGACAUCUGUUUUGGUCUUUUUCUUUGCUGUCUUUUUAAUGACAUCUUGGACGGCACUGGGUUUUUGGGUUAUGUUUUCUUUGUGUAUGGUGUACUUGAUGUCAUUCCACAAUUCAUCUGGUCUUCGAUCAUUAGUGUUUGACCCAUCAAAUCUAUUCUUGAGAUGGUCUCUAAAUUCGGGUGGGAUAUACUCAAGGUCAUAUGUUGGCUCUCGUGGAUUUGUUCUAAUUUUCUUCACUUUCAACUUGAACUUGCAUAUGAGGAAUUGAUGGUCGAUUCCACACUUAGCCCCUGGCCUUGUUCUGACUGAUAAUAUUGAGCUUUUCUAUCAUGUCUUUCCACAGAUGUAGUCAGUUUGAUUCCUGUGUAUUCCACCUGGCCAGGUGCACGUGUAUAGUCACCAUUUAUGUUGGCGAAAAAAGGUAUUUGCAGUGAAGAAGUUGUUGGUUCAUAAAAUUCUAUCAUGCAAUCUCUGGCAUCGUUUCUAUCACCAAGGGCAGACUUUCUAAUUACCAAUCCUUCUUUGUCUCCAAUUUUCACAUUCCAAUCACCAGUGAUUACCAAUGCAUCCUGAUUGCAUGAUUGAUGAAUUUCAGGCUUCAGACGCUGGUAAAAAUCUUCAAUUUCUUCAUCUUUGGUCUUAGUGGUUGGUGUAUAAAUUUGAAUAAUAGUUGUAUUAACUGGUCUUUAUUGUAGUCGUAUGUACAUUAUCCUAUCACUGAAAGCAUUGUACUUUAGGACAGAUCUUGAAAUGUUCUUUUUGGUGAUGAAUGCAGUGCCAUUCUUCUUCAAUUUGUCAUUCUUGAUGUAGUAGACCAUAUGAUUGUCCAAUUCAAAAUUGCCAAUACCAGUCCAUUUCAGCUCACUAAUGCCUAGGAUAUCGAUUGUUACGUGUUCCAUUUCAUUUUUGAUGAUUUCCAAUUUUUCUAGUUUCACACUUCAUACAUUCCAAGUUCCAAUCAUUAAUGGAUGUUUGCAGCUAUUUCUUCUCAUUUUGAGUCGUGCCACAUCAGCAAAUGAAGGUCCUGAAAGCUUGACUCCAUCCGCGUCAUUAAGGUCGACUCUACUUUGAGGAGGCAGCUCUUCCCCAGUUGUAUUUUGAGCGAGGGGUUCAUCUUCCGGCAAUAUUUCAGACAACGUUUUACUGCUACUCGUAAGGUUUUCACUGACUAAUUCUUUUCAGACAUAGACCGCCAGGCCCUUCUUCCUAGUCUGUCUUAGCCUGGAAGCUCAGCUGAAACCUGUCUGCCAUGGGUGACCUGCUGGUAUUUGAAUACUGGUAGAAUAGCUUCCAGCAUCACAGCAGCACGCAAGCCCUCACAAUACGAGAAACUGACACACGUGUGGGGGAUUAUAAUAUCAGAGUAUUAUAAUGACAUGUGCAAGGUGAAGUGGUUGAGAGCUGGAGAUAGCAUGGGAUCUGCAGGUAGCAUACAGAGCAGGAAUCUAUUUUAAAACAUGGUCCAGGUAAGAAAUGUCCUUCCACUCUAUAUCUCUAGUGGAUCUGGUUAAAAAUAAAUCCAGUAUAAGAAAUUGUGAUAUUCUUUUAAGAAAAAUAAUUAUGUAUGUUCAUAUCAGAAUGAUAUAAAUUGGAAUGAGCCCUGAUGUAUUGACAUUAAUAUUAGAUGUUGAAGCCCAAAGUCUUUGAACUUUGAAUGUAACCACAGUGCAUUCAGGAGUGUGAUGCUGUAUUCUUACGGUAACCAGAAAAUAGAGUGCAUACCAAUGAAUUUAAAUGCAAAUUAAUACUAAUUGGUUGAAAAAACAUGUCAGGUAUUUACCAAGCAAUGUUAUCCAAUGUUAUGAUCUAUACAGUCGAAUGCCUUUUCAUAGUCAGUAAAACACAGGUAAACAUCUUUCUGGUAUUCUCUGCUUUAAGCCAAGAUUCAGCUGACGUCAGCAAUGAUAUCUCUGGUUCCAUAUCCUCGUCUAAUUCUUUGACUACACAAAGGCAUUUGACUGUGUGAAUCAUAACAAAUUAUGGAUAACAUUGUGAAAAAUGGGAAUUCCAGAACACUUAAUUGUGCUCAUGAGGAACCUGUACAUAGAUCAAGAGACAGUUGUUCUAACAGAACAAGGGGAUACUCUAUGGUUUAAAGUCAGGAAAGGUGUGUGUCAGAGUUGUUUCCUUUCACCAUACCUAUUCAAUCUAAAUGCUGAGCAAAUUACCUGAUAUAUAUAAAGAAGAACGGGGCAUCAGGAUUGGGGGAAGACUCAUUAACAACCUGUGAUAUGCAGAUGACACAACUUUGCUUGCUGAAAGUGAAGAGGACUUGAAGCACUUACUGAUGAAAAUCAAAGACCACAGCCUUCAGUGUGAAUUGCACCUCAUCAUAAAGAAAACAAAAAUCUUCACAGCUCAACCACUAAGCAAUCAUGAUAAAUGGAGAAAAGAUUGAAGUUGUCAAGGAUUUCGUUUUUCUUGGAUCCACAAUCAACACCCAUGAAAACAGCAGUCAAGAAAUCAAAAAAAGAUGCAUUGAGCUGGGCAAAUCUGCUGUAAGAGAUCUCUUUAAAGUCUUGAAAAGCAAAGAUGUCACCUUGAGGACUAAAGUGCACUUGUCCUAAGCCAUGAUGUUUUCAAUUGCCUCAUAUGCAUGCAAAAGCUAGACAAUGAAUAAGGAAGACUGAAGAAGAAUUGACACCUUUGAAUUGUGGUUCUGGCAAAGAAUAUUGAAUAUACCAUGGACUGCCAAAAGAAUGAACAAAUCUUUCUCGGAAGAAGUACAACCAGAAUGCUCCUUAGAAGCAAGGAUGGCGAGACUAUGUCUCACAUACUUUGGACACGUUAUCAGGAGAGAUCAGUCCCUGGAGAAGAACAUCAUGCUAGGUAAAGUAGAGGGUCAGAGAAAAAGAAGAAGAUCCUCAAUGAGAUGGAUUGACACAGUGGCUGCAACAAUGCACUCAAGCACAACAAGGAUGGUGAAGAUGGCGCAGGACCGAGCAAUGUUUCCUUCUGUGUACGUAGGGGUCGCUAUGAGUUGUAACCAACUUGACAGCACCUAACAACAACAUUUUCCAAGCAAUAUUAAAAACAUUAAUAAAAUGAUUUUGAAGUUCCCAGCUUUGAAGCAAAAGAAAACAAACUUGUUGCCAUCAAGUUGGUCAUAGUGAGCCUAUAGGACAGAGUAGAACUGCCCCACAGGAUUUCCAAGGCUGUAAAUCUUUACUGCGGCAGACUGCCACAUCUUUCUCCCAGGAGCAGCUGAUGGAUUCAAACCACUGACUUUUUGGUUACCAGUAGAACUCUUAAGCUCUGUACCACCAGGGUUUUUUAAGUUUGGAGCCGCCAUUAUUCAGUUUCCUUGAGCAGCCUCCUGGUAGUUCUUGUUGGCAGAAAGACUUCUAAGAGGCCCUCCUUGAACUAACCAGCUGAGCAGUCUUUGGACCUCCUCAGCACAGCCUAGGAAGCAGAUAUGGGAACCUUUGCAAUUGCUUUUUAGAUACAAGACCGAAAACAAAUGACUACGUUUUGAUUUCAAUUUGAUUCAGCAAGUUUAUUAGAUAUUUACCAUGUUUUCUACAUAAUAUCAGUUUAAAUACGAUUCUGCAUUUGGAAGUCUCUUGGUCUUAUUUCUAGAGCAACACUGUCUGUGCUUUCACAAUAUAAAUUAUUUCAUACAGUUGCCUGAGAUAAUGGGAUAAUGUUUUUUAUCAAGUUGACAAAGAUCAUAUUUAAUGCUGGUGAAGGGGGGAAGGUAAGUUAGUAUAAUCCUUCUGGAAAAUUGUUUGUCAGUAUGAAUCUAGAAACUUCCAAUGGCCUUAAGUAAUUCCACUUUUAGUUUUAUAUAUGGUAAUAAUUAGAGAUAUGGAUAGAGAUUGGACUAAAAGUGUAUUUAUUACAGGUUCUUCCCCUUUUAGUUGCAGUUCUGUUAUAUGUGACCAUACAUGUUGGAACUCCUGCCUAUUCUCAUUCUCAUCUCUCUCUCAAGACUCCUUCCUUGCCCAUCACUUCAAUUAUCUUUUCUAUGUAGGGACUUAAAAAUUGACCUCACUUCUCACAGCACAGCCACCUGACAAACUGACACUUCUACUUGGAUAGCUCAAAGACACCAAAUUCAGGAACCCAAAAUUGAACUCAUGCGUUUUCUUCCUAGUCCUCUCCCAGUUUUCCUGUGAGGAAACAAUGUCAUUCUUAUACUUCAGAUCCUUCAAAGACUUCCCAAUGCUCUUAAAAUAAGGCUCUGCCCUGGUAGUUAUAGGGAUGAAUGUCAAAUUCUAGAAACCAAUAUGACCAAACUAGAGAAUUUAUUAAACUUCUUUCUUUGGCCUUCCAAUUUUAUAGGUUGUUAAGCAUUACACUGAACUACUGGACAUUCUAAACCAAGUGGAUAUAUUCCAGAUAUCUGACCCUGAUGUUCCUGUAGCUCAGCUGGUGAUUUUUAACUUUCUUGCCAAAGAGAAUUAUUUUGAGUUGUAAUAAAGUGACUCUUGAAAUUAGAAUUGAACUUCUAGAACUAAAAGUGCAACGUGUACAUUAUGAUUAUCAUUACUGAGUUGUAUUAAUUAUUAUCAUCUUAAGAAGUAUUCUGUGGUGGAUGCAAAGUAGAAUUCUUUUGUUUUUUUUAAUAACUCAGUAAAAUCAAUGGUAAAGGAUCAGAAACAAUGUGUUAAGAAUAAGCAUUCCUUAAAUGAUUAGUUCACCUUCAUUCUGUUGGACUCACCUUUGUACAGAAUUGAACAAGAUGGAAGUCAAAGUAGCAGAGAAAAAAACCAAAUUAAUCCACCCUGCUCAAAGAGUGCACAACCUAAUGAGGAUGAUAAACAUAAUGUCAACUUUAUAGUGCUGAGAACACCAGUUCUCCAGAACGGUGUUUUUCAACAAGGGGCUGCAGAUUAGACUCGCCAGACCAGCUUGUAAACGUUCUUCCGUGCAGGUGGUACAUCAGACUAUCUGGGGGAAUUUAAUUACCCAAGACAAGCAGUUUGUAAAGCUCCCAGGUGUUUUCAAUGGGCAGUCAAAUUGGAGAAUUAAAUGUGAAUGAAAACCAGAAAACCAAACGAGUUUUCUUGAGGUCGAUUCUGACUCAUGGCAACCCCAUGUGUGUCGGCGUUUCAUAGGGUUUUCAACGGCUGAUUUUUUGGGGGUAGAUCACCAAGACUUUCUUCUGAGGUGGCUUUGGGUGGACUCAAACCUCCAACUUUUUGGUUAGCAGCGUAGCAUGUUAAUAGUUUGCAUUACCCAGGGACUCUAAGUAUGAAUGAAUUGCUUUGUUAAUGAAUCUCAUUCUUUUAAACCUUAAGAAAAGCCUUUUAUUUAUGAGUCUAAGCUUAAAUCAGAUGCAGAUUUUAAUGUGGGGGUCACAGAGGCAGUUUGGGGUUCUUUUAAUGCUGUUUCACAGACUGAGAAGGGGAAGAAUUAGGAGCCAAGCUAGUGUGGCUUUUAGACAAGAAAGCAAUGUUUAAAGAUUCAUAAUUCAUUGUGAUACAGUAUUUCAAAACCCAAUUUCACAGAUUAGGGUAAAGAAACAUCUGAAAAAACAAACUUCUUUGAAGUGAGUCUCCUGAAACACGCUCAUCAGUGUGACUUAGAAUCUGAACGUGAAAGCCUGUGUGAAAAGAAGCCUGUUGUCUUUUCUGUGGAGGCAUUAACGGUGUUGAUUUUAGAAGCAUUCACCCUUUUUUGUUCCACAUGAUUUCCAUUUAUUCACAUACUCAGGUUAGAAUAAUCGUUUUGAUUAACUUAUUUUUUUUCCCUGGAAGAUAUUGAAGAGGUAGAACUCAGGCUAUGUUGAGUGCUUGAGUAUAUACUUGGAGGGUAGUUUCUGAGUAUCCUCUAUAGUGAUGCUAACUCUUCAUUUUGCCAACCAUCACUUCUCUUAGUAUCUUAAUGGUAUUCCUCCUGCUCAGAAAGCCACCUCACCUAUUCUGAGCUCGAUAACUGAGAGUGGGGUUUUCAUGCGUAUGAGAUAUGAUUGCAAAAGCUCACUGGGACAAACUGUAACUUAAAGCAGAAAUUGGCCCCAAGGCAUUAUCAAGUUAAGGCUCUCCUAGUCCCCCUACCAUCAAAUUGAUUUUAGCAAAUCAUCUCCUAAGCCAUUAAUUACUGGUAAUUAUCAGUUGGAAGUUUUGCAUUCCCUCACCUUUAUUAAAUACCAUAAAUUCUGUUAGUUUUUGUUUUAGGGAAGAAUAACAAACCUAUCUAAAUGUAUCAGACAGCACAUAUUUAGAAGAAUCUUAAACCAGCCUGAGCUGUGCUGAAGCUGUAGUUUUAAUCCAUGAAUUCGACAUACUUCACAAAUAAUUUGUUUUCAUAAAUACUAUUUCAAUAUCUGAUAGAGAUACUAUAAAACAAUGAGAAAAGGCCCAUGUCAUGUUCAAAUAGGAGAGUUUAUUAUCCAAAAUUAUUUUUACUAAUUACCAAAACAAUGUUGGGCUUGACUGUGGUUUGAAAUAAGUAUUUAUGUUUGAAGAAACUCUGCUUGUUACAUUGCAGGUCAGAUUUAGGGUCCUUGCAACCCAGCGUUCUGUUCUUGACAGAGAGAGGAGAUGUUUUUCAAAGACUCUGGCUGCCUUUCAGAGCCCUGGUGACACCGUGGUUAAGAUCUUGGCUGCUAACCAAAAGGCUGGCAGUUCCAGUCUACCAGCUGCUCCUUGGAAACCCUAUGGUGUCCGUUCCACUUUGCCCUGUAGAGUCACUGUGAGUUGGAAUUACUUGAUGGCAACAGGUUUGAUUUUGGUUUUGUCUGCUUUUCAGGCUACCUCAGAGGCAUAUCCUACCUUUGUUAGGCAUUGGUUAUGAAUUUACCAUGAAUUUUCCUAAAAAUUUCUAUGUCAGUUUAUAUUUUAGCUGGGACUACAAGUUACAGUGUAGAAAUUCAAGAAUUUACAUAUAAUACCAUCUUCAAAUAUCAGAAAUUUUUGCAGGACUUAGAUGACCCCUAAACACAUACUACAUUAUUUAAAGAAUUGUUUUUUAAAUUCAUAUCAAACUGAAAUAGUUGUACAUCGUUUUUGAAGUCAAAUAAUACUAUAAGGUUCCUAAUGAAAAAAAAAGUAGUCCUCAAACACACCCAAACUCUGAUUCCUGCUCCUAGUCUUUUAAUUUGAUGCUUUUUUUCUUGGUAUUUACCCCAUAUCGAUAACAUGCAUAAUUUAGUACCUCUUGCAGUUUCUAUUAUAGACAUUACAUGUUGGCUUUUGUCUUAGUUAUCUAGUGCUGCCAUAACAGAAAUACCACAGGUGGAUGGCUUUAACAAACAGAAAUGUAUUUUCUCACACUCUAGUAGAUUACAAGUCCAAAUUCAGGGCUUCUGCUCCAGGGGAAGGCUUUCUCUCUCUGUCGGCUCUGGAGAAAGGUCCUUGUCCUCAAUCUUCCCCUGGUGAAGGAGUUUCUCAGGUGUAGGGAGCCCAGGUCCAAAAGAUGCCCCCUGCUCCUAGUGCUGCUUUCUUGGUGGUAUGAGGUCCCCAACUCUCUGCUUGCAUUCCUUUCGUUUUAUCUCUUGAGAGAUAAAAGGUGGUGCAGGCCCUGCCCCAGGGAAACUCCCUUUACCUUGGAUCAGGGAAGUGACCUGAAUAAGGGUGGUGUUACAAUCCCACCCUAAUCCCCUUAACAUAAAAUUACACUCACAAAAUGGAGGACAACCACACAAUACUGGGAAUCAUGGCCUAAGUUGACAUAUGAAUUUUGGGGGACACAGUUUAAUCCAUGACAGCUUUCUACUCUUGAAGAUCAUCUUACAUCAUCUCUCACACACAGAAUAUCGCACUCACACACACAACUUUAGCUGUACAUAUAUAUAUGUACCCUUCCCCAGUGUAGUUAUUUCACAAUUUUUGCCUAAGUCUGUAUUCAAUAUUGACAUCAGUAUGACAUACUUAUUACUCACAGCCAAACCACACAUAGUAUAUAAUUAUUACAUUUCCAUUCUUGCAAAACUUGUUGCUUUUCUGGAGUUAAUGCAUACUUCCUUUUUUUUGCUUGGUUACCUAUCAUUUUCUGAGUACUUGGCAAAUGACAGAUACUGGGCUAAGCACUUUACAGUAUAUUAACAAUUUAAUUCUUGUAAUUAUCAUUUUACAAAUGAGGGAACUGAGGAACUGAAAGGUUGAAUAACUUGAUGUUACAAAGUCAGUAAGUGGCUGAAUUGAGAUUUGAACUGAGGCACUCUGAUUUCUUCUUAAUCACAGCAAAGUAUUAAAAAUGCCCAAAGCUUUAGGGGCUACUGGCUUGGAGCGGUGACCUGGCCUGGAUUUCUCGUGGUAAAUGGAGGAGGAAAAAAAAUGACGAAUUUAAUUUUGGACAAAUUAGAAUGAGGAGAUACCAGGAUACAUAAAUACCUGUCCUAUAACAGCUGUACCUAUGUGACUAAGGCAGAAACUUGCCCUGAGAAUAUGAACUGGAGAAUCUUUAACAUGGAAAUGAUAGGUUAAAAGAUGAGAAAGUAUGAUUUCUCGAAGCAAGUGAAUUUCCAAAGAGAAGAGCAGAAGAGAUGAGGUCAAACUUUAUGGUGAAUAUACAGUGAAGACGUUGGGAAAAGGUACAAAGCUAGAAUCAAAUACAAACAGUUCUAAAGGUGGGAGGAGAAUGAGACUAGGGGUAAGAGCCCAGCCAAGGAAGACUUUCCCAAAAGGUGAGCAAAAAAUAAAGAGGGUUCCUGCAGAGAGGUGGAGGGUGAUUAGUGAGAAAAAAAAAAAAUUGAGUAGAAGGUGGUUAUUAACGACCUCCACCAAAGUGUUAAUAAAUAUUAAGUAUAAAUAGGAGUAGAUAUUAGAUAUUUUACAGAUUUUUCUUUUUUUUUUAUGUUUGUUUGAUUUGGGGGGAUGGCAGAGGUAAAUUUUUCUUGCUACUCAAAGUAUUCCUGAGUUGAGUCCCAGAAGCUUUCUUAGAACUUGCCCCAAGCCAAGCCCGUUGCUGUCGAUCCUGACUCAUACUUAACCCACUGCCAUUAAGUGGAUUCCCACUCUUAGUGACCCUAUGGGACAGAGUAGAACUGCCCCAUAGUUUCCAAGGAGCACCUGGUGGAUUCAAACUGCCUGCUUUUUGGUUAGCAGCCGUAGCUCUUAACGAAGCACCAGAGUUUCCGACUCACACUUAGAUACCUGCAAUAUCAGAGGAACAGAGAGUGUUAGAGAUGAGAAGGGCCUCAGGGGUUCACCCUGGUUCAUUUUUUUUUUAUUAUUAUUCAUGGGGAAACUGCAGUAUAAAGUGUUGAGUGAUUCUACCAGAGAAGCAAGACCUCUGAGUUGGGCCCUGAAGUCUGAUCUGAAUCCAGGCCCCUGCUUUUCCUCCUCAUAUCACCAUGUAGCUUUGACACAACAGGCAGAGUUAGUGAAAAGCUUUCCUCUCUCUUCUGACUUCGUAUCUUAACUUGAGGAGUGAAUGCAGCGUGAUGGAGGGAGACCCUGGGCCAAACGAAGGGAUUUAUAAAAAAUCCUCCAUUGUUGAAUCAGACCAUUGAGUUGUGUCUUCUUUGUUUGGUUCAAUGCUUUAGAUGCCCAGUGCCUUUUUUAGAUAUAAUAAAAGGUAGGUUUAGAAUCAGUAGUGUCAGAAGAAUAUGCAUAGUGUAUAUCCAUUUAAAGACUUUAAAAUUGUGACACAACUUGUAGCAUCAGAAAAUAUAAAAAAAUAGCAGUGGUUGAGACUUUAAGAAUGAACUUCUGUGUAAUUUUAUGUAGUUUAGCACAUCACCAUGGAGACAGACUGCUGGGGUCAGACAUGGUUUUUUUUUAGCUAUGCUGCCUGUCCUUUUGUCUGUUAAUACAUCUUUUUACUCAGGAGCCAGGAGAUUUGCUCUUACAUGGUUAGGCAUUUAAGCCGACUGAUAAAAGAUGUUAUCAGGAGGGACCAGUUCCUGGAGAAGGACAUCAUGCUUGGUAAAGUAGAGGGUCAGUGAAAAAGAGGAAGAUCCUCAAGCAGACGAAUUGACAUGGUGGUUGGGACAAUGGGCUCAAGCACAGCAAUGAUUGUGAGGAUGGCACAGGACUGGGCAGUGUUCGGUUCCGUUGUACAUAGGAUUGCUGUGAGUCAGAACUGAAUCGAUGGCACCUAACAACAAAAAUUUUUUAAAUUGUGGUAUCUGGGAACCCAUAAAGAGUGUACCAUGUUUCUAGAGCAAUCUGUAAGCUAGUUUGUAAUAUGAAAGAAUGUGUCUGCCAUUUCAAACUAGACUCCCAAAUUAGUGAAGGCUUGGGACUGUCCCGUUUGUCAUCUAUGUAGGGUGUGAUCCAUGAAUCGUGUGCUUGCUUCAGGCUGUGUGUCUUUGGACUCAUCUAUUCUCAAUGGCACUGGGGAGACUGAAGCAACUUACCCAACUUCACCAGUGACGUAGGUAAAAAGGCAGAAAGAACUUCUGUUUUACAGUUUAAAAUUAGCCAAAAGCUAGCUACUCAAAAAAAACAAAUUUUUUUAAAUAAUUUGAUGUUUCCUCUUUCAGCUCUGUGAGAGUCAUUUUCAUUUUGCAGUAGCUCUCCAAAACGUGAAUCUUCACAAGAAAGCUGUUGAGCAAUUAACCAAAGCUGCAAAGAUUGCCUCUGUGCCAAAGGUAAACCUGGCGAGCUAUUGUUCAGAAUUUUCAAAACUGUGUGAGUUGUAGGGUUACAGUGUAAUGUAUAAUGUUUUUAUCUUCUGAUUUUUCUCAUAGUUCAUUUAUCCCAGGGUGACUGAGAGCUGUGACGUUCCAGCUGUAGUCCGUGACAUACAUACCUCACGUAAAACAUGUGAAAUAAUCCAGCCCAGAAAACACAACGCAUUGCUGGGUUCACAUCAGCCGAAUUGCUGUAAUGUUGGCUGUAAAUACGAGACUUUCUUUCACACAUCAAUAUUUUCAAGAAUGGCAUAUUCCCAUGCAGUACGUGGACAGAUGAAAGAAGCAAUAAAGGAUGCUAACAAAGCUAUUUCUUUGGACAGUCUAAACCUGGUAGGUUUGAUAAAUUUUAAAAGUAAAAUAAAUGACAAAUAGUGGUAUACUAUUCCCCAUGAUUCUUGCUUUUAUCAACCAUGUUUGUUAUUUUUUUACAUAUUGUAAUUACUUCUCCCUGUUUUGUUGUAUAGGAACCCUGGUGGCACAGUGAUGAAGGUGUUCGGCUGCUAACCAAAAGGUCUGCAGUUCGAACCCACCAGGUGCUCCACGGGAGAAAAAUGUGGCAGUCUGCUUCUGUAAAGAUUUACAGCCUUGUAAACCCUAUAAAUUACUAUGAGUUGUAAUCGACUUGCUGGCAGUGGGUUUUUUUUCAAACCCUAUGGGGCGGUUCUACUCUGUCCCACUGGGCCACCAAGAGUUGGAAUCAAUUCGACCUCAGUGAGUUUUUCAAUUUAUCGAAUGUCUGUGCCAUUGUAUAUCUCCUUGGCUAAUUUUUGUAUCAGCAAAAAUUGUGCAUCUUUUAUACAAGAAUAAUACAAGAAUAAAAUUUAGGAAGACUUAGUUAAGUUAAAAACCCUACUGUAAUCAAUAAAAUGAUACUACAGCUGAUUCACUACUACACAAUAUCUUCACAAAAUGUGCCUAAAGAAAGAACUUUACUUCAGUGAAAUAGAUUGAUAAGAUGUUGCAUUAGCAUUAUUAAUAAUUUUGUCACCAAAUGGUAUAUGCCAUUUUCUGAUAAGUAGAGCAAAUGAGUAUAAACAAUGUAAAUGCAUGGAGAACCCAAACCAAAACCCGUUGCUGUUGAAUCAAUUCCACCUUGUAGCGACCCUGUAGGAGAGAGUAGAACUGCCCCAUAGGGCUUCCAAGGCUGUAAAUCUUUAGGGAAGCAGACUGCCACAUCUUCCUCCCACGGAGCAGCUGGUGGAUUGAACCACCGACCUUUUGGUUAGCAGCUGAGCACUCAACCACUGCACCACCAGGCUCCUUAAAUGCGUGGUGAAUAUUAUUAUAAUUCUAUAGCUGGAGAAGCCUAAAAGAUAUCUGAUCCAAUUCUCUCAUUUUGCAGAUGAGGAAACUGAGAUCAAGGCAAUUGAUUAGUCAAAGUUUUGUGGACUCCAGGGCCACCAGGUUAUAAAUGGCACUAACAGUAGGGGGCACCAUUUCCAUAAUCUAUGCUUAGACCAGACUCCCUGGAUGGUACAGAUGGUUAAGCACUCAGCAUCUUGGAAGAAAGGCCUGGUGAUCUAAGUCUGAAAAACAAGCUAUUGUAAGCCCUAUGGAGCACAGUUCUACUAUGACAUGCAUGGGGGUGCCAUGAGUCAGAAGGACUCCAUGACAACUAGUUGGCUGGUUGGUUGGUUAUGUUUAAAUCCUGUGAAUGGCGCCCCUGGGUUUUACCUGCAUAGUUACAUAAUUUUAGUAUGGCCCCAUUAGUUAACAAACUCUUAGGGCAAAAAUCUCUGUCUUCCAAUUCCUUGGUUGAGGCUUUUUCUACUAAGCUACAUUAGUCUGCUUUAUGUCUUUUUUGCUUUUUAUUUUAUUUUUUCUAAAGCCUAAACAUUAACCACUUCUUUCCAUGACUUUUGCAUUUCUCAGGAUGUGUACUGUGUUAGAGCGUUUGCGUGGAAUUCAUGCAAAGAAACCAAAAGGGCCAUUUAUGAUUUGAACUAUGGCCUUAGGCUAAAUCCUUCUCACAUUUGUACCUUAAUAUUGAGAGGGGCCAUCACCAAGUCUAUUACAGAUACAAAUGGGCAAUUUGAUGAGAAUGAAGAUCAUGAAAAGGUAAAUGCAAUUUCCAAAAAGCUUUUGACAUGAUGAAUUAGAAAUGAAUAUGUUUUUUCUAUUACCUAAAGUUUUAGCCCUAGUAAGAAAUAUGAAGUGAAAAGCAUUAAACUAGUAAGUGUAAUUUUUUGGGGGAGGGGGGAGGAGACUUAGAAAUCAUUGCAUAAUGGUAGUAUUAACCUAGCCAAAAAGAAAUUAUAAAACAGAAUAAGAAGACCCUGUGUAUGUGAGUGAUUUAUAGAUGCAUCCCAAAAGUUCUCAAAGUAUAAUAUACUAACACACACUUUUUGAUUUUUAAAUAUCUUUGGAAGAAGGGGCCCUGGUGUCAGAGUGGUUAAGAGCUUGGCUGCUAACCGAAAGGUCGGCAGUUUGAAUCCACCAGCCACCCCUUAGAAAUCCAAUGGGGCAGUUCUUCUCUGUCUUAUAAGGUCGCUGUGAGUUGGAACCGACUCAAUGGCAACAAAAGCUCAUUUACAUCUCUUAUUUAGAAUGAAAAUUCAUUUCCACUUCCUAACAGCAUACUCAUUUCCUUUUAGUUUUCCAAACGUUUUCUUUAAUAAGCAUACACUGUCCAGGAUAAUGGAGCCCUGGUGGCUCCAUCGAUUAAGAGCUCCAGUGGUUAAGAGCUCAGCUGCUAACGAAAAAAGGUCAGCAGUUCAAAUCCACCAGCUGCUCCUUGGAAACCCUGUGGGGCAAUUCUACUCUGUCCUGUAGGUGGCUAUGAGUUGGAAUCAACUCUACAGCAACAGGUUUGUUUUUUGGAAGAAGAUAUUUAAAUUUUUUAAAUGGUAUAAUACGCUAACAUAUAUUUUUUAUUUUUAAAUAUCUUUGGAAGAAGAUAUUUAAAUCUUUUAACAUCUUUGAAAGAAAUAUUUGAAAGAAACAUUUACCUUUUAUACCUGUUCUAUCAGUGCCACACCAAUGACAUCUAUCCAUCAAUUAAAUAUGAGAUGAGUUGCAAACAGUCCUUUUACUUUUCCUGAAGCCCCACUUCGCAAUCUGAAGCUACCUUUUGGUAUUGUGGAAGAAGCGAUCUUGUGGCCAGUCUGAAGUGAUCCCCCCCGGGGAAUGCUUUGAGGUUCAAUCAAAAAAAUUCAGAAAGCUUGGUUGGCUUUUGGUCCCUUUGUUUCAGUUGGAUGUAUUGCCAGUGAUCACCUCAAAGCUCUUUUUGGGAGCUAAUUCUUUCACCUGUGUUACUGGGUAGGAGGGCAAACUUUAUCUGAUCUUUGCCACAGAUCUUUACGUAGGGUUUCUCAAACUCAGCAUUAUUGGAUAAUUCUUUGUUGUGUCCCUUACAUUGUAAGGUGUUUAGCAGCAUCCCUGACCUCUACCCACUAGAUGCCAGCAGCAACCUCUCUCCCACCUGUGACAACCAAAGGUGCCUCUGUUGUUGUUAGGUGCUGUCGAGUCGAUUUUUGACUCAUAGCGACCUCAUGUAACAGGGUAGAACUGCCCCAUCAGGUUUUCUCGGCUGUAAUCUUUACAGAAGCAGAUUGCCAGACCUUUCUCUUCCAGAGCCGCUGGGUAUGUUCGAGCCACCAACCUUGCAGUUAGCAACUGAGCACUUAACCAUUGUGCCACCAGCGCUCAUUAAAAGUGUCUCUACGUGCUGCCAAAUGUCCUCUGUAGGCAAAAUGGCCUCUAACUGAGAAGUGCUGCUUUAGUCUCUUGUUCUGCUUAAUGCAGUCUUUGAAAAAGGCUCUGAGCAAAAACCAUCUUAUUUCUUGUUCGUGGGUGCAGAAGCAGUUAAGCUUUUUCAACUUUUGAAGCCCCAGAUGUCUGGAUAUUUAUCAUUUUACCUCUUGCAAACUGGCCUGUUCCAGCUGAUCUCAUCUCUUUCUUAAAAUGAUUUGUUAGAAAAGUGGCAAGGAGCUGCUAGUGCACAGUGACAUUCUGAUUCUUUCCAGCUGCUCCCCUAGAGCUGUAAGCAUGGUAGACAGAAGCUUUGCCUUAACAGAGAACAGUUCUACCGCAAGUUUUGCUGUGGCACAACAAGAGUUGCCCGAGUUUUAGCCUGCAGUGAUCUUGUACCCCUUAUUCCUGCUAUCACACUUCUAAGCCAAAAUCACGUGUUUUAAGCUUUUGUAAUGACAGCAUUCCAUUUCCGAGUAUCAAUCUCUGCUUCAGAUUUGAACUACACGGAAAAGCCAGCCAUUUGAAGACCAAGGGAAAGAAGAUUUUAGGGAGGGAAAAACAGCUAGUGGAAAGAUGGAGGGCUGGGAACAUACUUAGACCUUUUGGGAAACUGAAAGAAAGCCAGUAUGGAUGGACCAUAGUGGGAAAGGGUAAAGCAGUAAGAGAUGAGGUCGCUACGAUAGACAGAGGCCAGAUCUGUAGUACUUUCUGGCCAGUGUAGGAAGUUUGGAUUUUAUUCUGUGAGCAAUGGAAAUCCACUGAAGUGUUUUAAGCAGAGAAAGGGGGAGAGGGAAAUUUGAUCAUCCUGAGUACUAUGGGGAAAAUGGAUCACAGGGAAGCAAAAGUAUGAGCAGGAAGUCCUAUAAGAAGUUCAUGUGAGAUGUGAUGGUUGCUUGGAUUGGGGCUAUAGCCAAAGAGAUGGAGAAAAAUAGACCAUUGGCAUGAGUUGUGUCUUAGAGUUGGAGGGACUCCUUGAUGAAUCGACUAUCCAUAGUGAGGGAAAAGAAGAAUUAAGGAUAUUUACUGGAGUUUGGCUUCAGAAACUGUGGGAAUGAUGGUUUCAUUUAUUCAGCUGAGGAAGACUCUGAAGUAAAAGCAACUGUUUUGAUCAAAUUAAGUUUUAGAUUCCAUUAGUCAACCAUGUGGUGGUAGUAAGUGGCCAGUUGGCUAUGUGAUUUAAGAUUUCCGGGAAGAUUCCAGGAACAGAGGUGUAUACUUGAGAGUCACCAGCAGUUAGAGGGUAUAUCAACAUUUGAAAUUUGAGCACAGUAAAGAGGAAUGAAAAAAGGAAACAGAGAAGGCCAACCAGAGAAGUAGGAAGAAACAGAAAGACUAGGUGUCAGGGAUGUGUAAUGAAAGAUGGAUUUUCUUUCUAUUCCCAAUUCCUAGUUUCUCUCCCCAGUAUCCUUCCAGCAGGUGUAAGCAAAUAGUAUAAACCAGUGGAUUCGUAUUCUCUAAAGAUACUCAAACACAGAUAGGAAGAUACCAUAAUACUAAUUUAUGAUUUGCUUUCUUAACAGUGUAUUUUGAAGCUCUACCCAUGUUAACAUGUUGAUCUGUCUUUUUCUGUGACUUCACAGCAUUUGAAAUUCAUUUUCAUUGUCUAAGCAGCCCUCCAUUUUUCAGAUGUGUCUUAUAAAAGGAUAAAAAAAAAAAAAAGAUACACACAAUAAUAUAAAGAGUAAGAAGCCACCCAAACAUGAAACGUUCCUAUUUUAAUUAAUGAGGACUUGCAGCAUCAGAGCUGACCUGAACUUUGAGAUUUAAUGAUUGCCAAAGCUGAGGAUUAUAGAACCAGCAACGAUGUAGAGUGAGCUACUCAAUCUCCAAAAGAGAGAAAUGUGGAAAAACCACAGUUUCCCUUGUGUGGUUUUCACCCACUCAAAAGUAAUAGAAUUCAGUGAAUUCCUCCUGACAAUGUAGUGCAAUGGAGUUAUUAAAACCAUCCAAUCAUACACCCUGCUGCUGUUAUCCUUACUCCAAUUAAAUAAAGAAAGUAGCUUAUUCUGGUUUUAUUGAGGUAUAAGUAGAAAAAUUCAACCUGCUGUUUUCUGAAACAGUAAUAACGAGCUAAAACUUUGCUUCUCUGUGUCUGUAUGUCUGAACAAUUAUGUUUCUUACCGUAGUCAAGCAAUCAGCCUUAUAAAAAGUCUAAUCACUGGGUGCUUUUAUUACCACUGAACUACUCAGACUCAUUUGCUAGGUAGCUCGUAAUUGUAAAACAGCUUUUUUUGCACACAGAAAUAGACUUUGUAUAAUAAUCAGUAUACGAUUAGUCACUAUAAACAAACACAUUACUUAAAACAGUAAUGACUUCUGAGAUAAAAAUUUCUCACACUUUUGUUCACUUACUGAUCAUUGCGUUUAAGCAUCAUUAAUGAGCCAUUAGCAAUUUGCGUUAAUACAGUUGAGAUGUCAUCUUUUUUCCUUGAUAGGUUUGUAAAACUUGCCCAAGUAAUAAGCGUUUCUUGGAUGUUACAGACUUCAGCGGUCCUAAGAUGGCUGGUUUCUAUGACAAAAAGAAGAGGAUGGUGGCCUGGAGCAUGGAAACAGUAGUAGCGAUAGAGGAAAGUGCACAGACUGAAGAGAGAUUUAGGACACAGAACAGACUGAACUUGGUGAUAGUUUAAAUAUGGGAAAAGGGAAUAAAGGGUGACUUCCAGAUUUAUUGAUUGGUCAUCUGGGCAUAUGGUGAGAGAAUACACGGGGAGAGGCAAUUGGGGGUGAGGAUGGUUGUGGUUUUGGGUGAAUUUGGGGUGCCUGUGAGACAUCCAAGUUGAUGAAUCUCAUGUUCAGGAGAGUGGUCCCUGAUAGAGAUUUGAGAAUUAUUAGUUAAUUGGUGGCAACUGAAGCCAUGAGAGUGGAUGAAACAACUCAGAGAAUGCAUGUAAAGGAAGAAGAGAAGAGAACAUGGGAAAGAGCCCUGAAAAUCAUCAACAUUUAGGGGACAGAUAGAGGGAGAGCUACUCUAAAGGAGACUGUGAAGCAAUUGCCAGGUAAGCAGGAGGGAAACCAGCAGAGUGUUGUGCCAGGGAAGAGUAUGCGUCAAUGAGGGAGGGUCGACAGUGUCCAAUCCCUUGAGAUGUCAAGGAGAACAAAGACUUCAAAAUAGCCAUUAAGUUUAAUGAAAAGGAGGAUUUUUGUUUCUUUUGCUUUUUUUGUUUUACCUUGCUAGAUCAGUUUCAGAAGAGUGGCGCAAUUACAAGGUGGAUUACAGUAGAGUAGGAGAGAUUAGGAGUCCCUGCAUGGCACAGUAUGAGUUGGAAUCGAAUCAACCGCAACAGGUUUGGUUUUGGUUGGGGGUGGUCCGGUGGUUAAAGCACUUGGCCACUAACCAAAAGCUCAGUGGUUUGAACCCACCAGCCGCUCUGUAGGGGAAAGAUGUGGCAGUCUGCUUCCGUAAAGAUUAUAGCCUUUGGAAACCCUAUGGGGCAGUUCUUCUCUGUCCUAUAGGGUCGCUAUGAGUUGGAAUCUACUCAAGGCAACAGGUUUUAUGAGUGGUGCAGACAAUUAAGCAUUUGACUACUAGCCAAAUGGUUGGCUGUUUGAACACACCCAGAGGUGCCUCAGAAGACAGGCCUGGCAAUUUGCUUCUGAAGCCCCCAUGGAGCAGUUCUACUCUGCACGCAUGAGGUCACCAUGAGUUGGAAUCAACUUGAGGCAACUAACAACAGGAGGGAGUAAACGGGACGAUUUAGAGAAAGGGAGUGUUGACACUCUUUCAUGAGUUCAUUGGUUAAAUUGAGGAGUUGAGGGUGUUUUUGUUUUGUGUUGCUUUUUUAAGGAAACUUGGGAUUUUUAAUGUCCGAAUGUCAAUGGAAAGGAACUAGCAGAGAGAGAGAAGUUGAAAUUAAGGUUCAGAGCCAGGUCCCCGAGAAGUCAGAAGGAAAAGGUGUUUGGAGCAUGGUGGAGGGAUAAGAGGAGGGGCUUUCUUGCAUAAGCUCUUUAGUUUUGUGAGUUUUGUUUAUUCAUCCAAGUAAUGAAGGAUAAUAAUAUCCUUCUAUGAUGUAGAUAUAUUAUGGAAAGUAAUUGGAUUAAAAUUUUAUGAACUUAUUUUGACCUUUAGCAUGCAGUCAUUCUCCUUUUGUAAAUAAAUAAAUUUAUAUAAGAUAUAUAAAAAUGUAUAUAUAUCCCCUCCCCAUGGGAAAUACACAGGACUUUAAAACAUCCGAGAAUUCUGUACACUGGAGAAUUCUGUAAAAUGAAGUAAGCAUGAGAAUUAAUUUUUUUCAUAUUAAUGGUGUUGCCUCUAAUUAAAAAUGUAAACAAAAGUUGAAUUUUUAUGAAUCAAAUUAUGUUUGUAAUACCCUAAGAAAAUUCAUAAUUUAAAGGACUCAACGCUGAACCAUCUCGAGAGAGGAAAAAAGAUCAUUUGUAAUGUGAAUGGUUAUUCCCUAGUUCAUAUGAUUGUAAAACUGGAUUUCCAUCUAUAGCAGAAGUUAACAAACUUUUUCUGUAAAGGGCCAGAUAGUAAAUAUUUUAGACUUUGUAGUCCAGAAGGUUGCAACUAUUCAACUUUGCUGAUGUAGCUGGAAAACAGCCACAGACAGUAUGUAAAAGAAUAGGCAUGGCUAUGUUCCAAUAAAACUUUAUUUAAAAAACUGGUGGAGGGUCAGAUUUAGCCUGCAGGCUGUAAUUUGCUAACCCCUGUUCUAGAGUUUUGUUAAAAGUGAUACAUGUUCGCGUAUUUUAAAAUAAUAAUAAUGGUAUCAACAGUGUAUGUCCCAGUCCAACAUCCAAAAAUCAGCCUAACUGGCAAAGGGUGAACAUGCUUUAGUGAUUAGUGCAGGGAGUUAAUUCUCAUCCUAUAUGAUAAGUAUGAGACCUACAUAUUUGGAGUAUGUCCUCAGAGUGGCCUUAGGUGUAUGGUUAGGUGAUUAAUGAACAUGAAACCUCAUUAACUUGACAUUUUCUAAUUCGGAAUGUGUGAUAUACUACUGUCUUUGUCUAAUUCUUCUCUGAUAGUAGAAUGUUGAAAGGUUUGCCAGACUGGGUUGGCCCAAAGGAAUGGGCUACUUGGGACUAGCAUGGGGGUUGCAAAAGCCUGGAGUGGAGACAAACUACCAAAAGAGUGCCAAUAUCAGGGAGGAAAACAUGUUCAAAACGUAUUUUCAAACAGAGGAAACCUUGGACAAGCAUCUAAAGGUGCAAAGCUGAACAAGGUUCAGUGAAUGAAGGAAUAUAAGAAGUGAGUUGUACAAAAGGAGGUGGUCUGGAUUAAUUCCAGAAAUGGCAGUCUUUAUGCCCAAUGCUACAUUUUUAAUGGCUUCAUAAGCAAACUGGACCAAUAAACACUUGACUCCCUAAAGACCAUCACUGGGUGUGUGAGACCAAGCUUUUCUCACACUUCUGAGGGAAAUUCAAUACUCUCACUCCUGAGGUAGCAGGUGGGCUCUUGCAAUUGCCUCUGAAGUUCCUACAACAUAGCGCAAUAUUUGUAUCGAAUCAUGAGAGCUAAUUGCUGGAUAAUGAAACAGAAAGUAAGAUCUCAGCAGGCUGGGCCAGGCAAGGAGUAGUGGAAGAUGGAUCAUGAGGGCAGUGAUAGAAUGAGAAGAUACUGAGGCUGACAGUUCACCUUAAAGGAUUCUAAGUAGCAGGUCUGUUGCAGACUUUUGAGAAUGAUUCAUGUUGUUUUCUAUUCCUCCCUCCUCCCUUAAGACUUGGUGUUGGUCAGCAUAUUUUUUCUUGUAUCACCUCAACAUCAUGGGAUGAUUCGGAGGUAAUCCUGAAUGACUUAUUAUAACUCUGGGCAAUGGCUGACCAUUAAGUUAUUAGAACGGGGAAGUUAGAGGUUAGAAAAAAAUUCUGCAGUGGCAAAAGAAGCAGCCCAAUUGUGUUGUCACUAGAAGAUAUAGCAGAAGAGGUAUCCCUCUAGCACUCACUGAAACCCUCAAUCUUUGCAUUUUCCUCUCCCCCCCCCACCUCCGCCUCCCUUUCUUUGUCUUCUUCUCCCCUCCCUUUAUUUGGUAAAAUGUUGAACUAGUCCCACUUUUCUCCUUAUGCACUCAUUUUUGACCAUGGGCAUUUCUCUUUGGGUCUGCUAAAGACUCCCAAAUAGUGUGGGUAGGUCUUCCUGUGUCCCCCUCCGUGUUUACCAGGGAUCAUUCUCCUCUCAGAACCUGAGCUCAGGCUUGGUGUUGAUGCAUGUUUAUUUUUUCUUCUGUCCCAGCUACCUGAGAGCCUGGGCAGGGAAAAUGGCUCAGGCCUGGGCAGCUAUACUACAUCUGUGUUCUUUUAACCUGAAAUUAUGUUCCACCUUGGCACAAAGGGCCCCUCCAUGGAUUGGGGUCUCCAUUUUCCCAUAGAAGGGCUCUCACACUGAGCUGAUGUACAGACCUCUCUGGUCUCAGACAUCACUGACUUACUCCUCGGACCCCUACUCCUGCACACCCAAUCUGGGCAAGGUUUUGUGUGAUUCUAUGACCUUUCUUAUGAAAACCUUACUCCUCACACUUUCCCUGCCUGUCUUCUACUGGUAGAAAUUUUUAAAGAGAAGAAUCUUUGUGAUUCUUAUAGCCCAUGCCAAAGCUUUGUCCACUGACUGUAGGGAAGAUGGGUCCUGUUAGGGGGUUCUUUCUUUGUCUCAUAGCUUACUGACUGCCGUGGAUUGGAUUGUGUCCCUCCAAAAUAUAUGACAAUGUGAGUAGGCCAUGAUUCCUAAUAUUGCGUAGUUGUCCUCCAUUUUAUGAUCUGAUGUAAUUGUCCUACGCGUUGUAAAUCCUCGUCUCUGACUGUGGUUAAUGAGGCAAGACUAGGUUAUGUUAAAGAAGAUUAGGGUGGGAUGCCACAUCCUUACUUAGGUCCCAACCCUGAUCCGAUGUAAGGGAAGUUUUCCUGGGGUGUGCCUGCAUCACCUUUUAUCUUAGAAGAGAUAAAAGGAAAGAGAAGCAAUCAGAGAGAGGGAGUUCAUUAUCAUCAAGAAAGAAGAGCGAGGAGUGGAGCACAUCCUUUGGAUCUGGUAUCCUUGCACUGAGAACCUACUAAACCCAGGGAAAGAAUGAAGCCAAGACACAUGGAUAUCUCCAACGAACAUUGGGCCCACAGAUGUUGAAAGAAAACAGAGAUGUUCCCCCAGAGCCGACAGAGAGAAAUAGCCUUCCUCUAGCUAGAGUUAGCACCCUGAAUUUGGACUUCUAGCCUCCUAAACCGUGAGAGCGUAAAUUUCUGUUUGUUAAAGCCAUCCACUUGUAGUAUUUCUGUUAUAGUGGCACUAGAUAACUAAGACACCCACCAUACUAGGCAAUAUUGUCCCACCACGUUGGGGUUAAUGAUUUUUUUUUUUUUUUUGAGAAUUUUGUC